Molecule: ribosomal RNA, 492 nt
Filed under: uncultured bacterium
Lineage: Bacteria
Description: partial 16S ribosomal RNA
Rfam family: Bacterial small subunit ribosomal RNA
Source: RNAcentral
AGUGAACGCUGGCGGUAGGCCUAACACAUGCAAGUCGAACGGUAGCACAGUAAGAGCUUGCUCUUACGGGUGGCGAGUGGCGGACGGGUGAGGAAUACAUCGGAAUCUACUUUUUCGUGGGGGAUAACGUAGGGAAACUUACGCUAAUACCGCAUACGACCUACGGGUGAAAGCAGGGGAUCUUCGGACCUUGCGCGAUUGAAUGAGCCGAUGUCGGAUUAGCUAGUUGGCGGGGUAAAGGCCCACCAAGGCGACGAUCCGUAGCUGGUCUGAGAGGAUGAUCAGCCGCACUGGAACUGAGACACGGUCCAGACUCCUACGGGAGGCAGCAGUGGGGAAUAUUGGACAAUGGGCGCAAGCCUGAUCCAGCCAUACCGCGUGGGUGAAGAAGGCCUUCGGGUUGUAAAGCCCUUUUGUUGGGAAAGAAAAGCAGCAGGUUAAUACCCCGCUGUUCUGACGGUACCCAAAGAAUAAGCACCGGCUAACUUCGUG